UGCUGGUAUUUUUUUUAUUUUGAGAAAAAGUUGUUGGAGAAAAACUCAAAAUUUGAAUUUGAAUUUAUUUUAUUUGAACUUUAAAUUUAUUUGGUAUUUAUUUAUUUAUUUAUUUAUUUAAUUUAUUUAUUUUAUUAUGUUUCUUAAUGAGAAAGAAACUAACGGGAUAUUUUUCCCGUUCCGUUCCGUUUCUUGCGCCAAGGAAUCGCAUUCUGUUGCGCGGAUUCCGCUUCUUUCUCGUAACGAAAAAGAACGUGAAAUCCUCUUUCCUUUUAUGCAUUUUUUUUUCUUCUUGCUUAUGACAGAGAAGGUAACAAAGAUAUUAGAUGGUUGGUUAAUCUCUAUCGAUUAAUUCUUUUAUCUUUCAUUUUUGAACAUUCUCCUUAUGCACUGGGUGUUGAAAGAAUCUCCGUCAAUCUCCUUCACGAUCGUGCUCGCAGGAGGAGGAAUUCCGGUCGUACCUUAGGGUGUUAUUUUCGGUUAAUCCCGCACGUAAGGACGGGAAUACGUAUUAGGGCAGUGCCUCGCACGCUUCCGGAUAAGAUCAAAUUUUUACUGGAAUAUUUGCGUCUAUCUGUACGUUUGAUUUAUUUAUUUUUAUCACAAAAUUAGUUAGAUUUUAAUUACAAUUAGAUUUUCUGUGCGGACUUUGUUCCAACAAAAGUUAGCACGCUACUCGCUUCAUUCAUUGGAGAAAUGAACUAGGCUAUAAGAGUAGGGUAACCUAGGCCCCGGGAAAAAAAAGAAAAAAAGAAGUCAAGAUGAGUGAAGUAAAUCCCACGCCGUCAGUAGCAGCUUGAGAGUACGUACGGCUAUCCCUGGGUUCGGUUGGUUUCUCCAAAAUAUCAAGUCGUUUCUGACCUUCCAAGUGAUCCACCAACAGCCUACUAACUCACUUAGACUGUUCCCCCCUUAUGUAGGCUCUUCCUGGACAUCCACCUAUUCUAGACUAGAUUCACCUCGUUCCCCAGAUCUUGGAUCUGCAUGCUAUUUACACCCAUUACGAUGAUAAACUUGCUAACAACG
RNAcentral lists this long non-coding RNA (1026 nucleotides) under Ananas comosus (pineapple). Its description in RNAcentral is "long non-coding RNA (ACOM_LNC009834)". Lineage: Eukaryota; Viridiplantae; Streptophyta; Magnoliopsida; Poales; Bromeliaceae. The record is from RNAcentral.